AUACUCUGGUUUCCCUUCAGAUCGUAUAAAUCUUUCGCCUUUUACUAAGGUUUUCCGUGGAGAGGAACAUGAGAGGUCCUGUUAUCUUCUCUUGCCUUAUUCAUGUAGGAAA
Eublepharis macularius is the source of this 112-nucleotide small nuclear RNA. RefSeq annotates it as U5 spliceosomal RNA. The transcript has a single exon. The record is from RefSeq and is a predicted model, not a curated record. Lineage: Eukaryota; Metazoa; Chordata; Lepidosauria; Squamata; Eublepharidae.